GGAAUAUUGCACAAUGGGCGCAAGCCUGAUGCAGCCAUGCCGCGUGUAUGAAGAAGGCCUUCGGGUUGUAAAGUACUUUCAGCGGGGAGGAAGGGAGUAAAGUUAAUACCUUUGCUCAUUGACGUUACCCGCAGAAGAAGCACCGGCUAACUCCGUGCCAGCAGCCGCGGUAAUACGGAGGGUGCAAGCGUUAAUCGGAAUUACUGGGCGUAAAGCGCACGCAGGCGGUUUGUUAAGUCAGAUGUGAAAUCCCCGGGCUCAACCUGGGAACUGCAUCUGAUACUGGCAAGCUUGAGUCUCGUAGAGGGGGGUAGAAUUCCAGGUGUAGCGGUGAAAUGCGUAGAGAUCUGGAGGAAUACCGGUGGCGAAGGCGGCCCCCUGGACGAAGACUGACGCUCAGGUGCGAAAGCGUGGAGGAGCAAACAGGAUUAGAUACCCCCGUAGUCCGG
This 449-nucleotide ribosomal RNA is filed under the name gamma proteobacterium SCGC AAA024-C02. RNAcentral describes it as "bacterial SSU rRNA". It matches the Rfam family "Bacterial small subunit ribosomal RNA", at positions 358 to 798 of the family's 1533-position model. Lineage: Bacteria; Pseudomonadati; Pseudomonadota; Gammaproteobacteria. The record is from RNAcentral.